UGGUAAUGCCGGAUGCUCCAGUUGGAUGCAUGUCCUUCUGGGAAAGAUUCAUCGGUAUGGGAUGGGGUCGCGUCCUAUCAGCUUGAUGGCGGGGUAACGGCCCACCAUGGCUUCGACGGGUAGCCGGCCUGAGAGGGCGACCGGCCACAUUGGGACUGAGAUACGGCCCAGACUCCUACGGGAGGCAGCAGUGGGGAAUAUUGCACAAUGGGCGCAAGCCUGAUGCAGCGACGCCGCGUGCGGGAUGACGGCCUUCGGGUUGUAAACCGCUUUUGACUGGGAGCAAGCCCUUCGGGGUGAGUGUACCUUUCGAAUAAGCACCGGCUAACUACGUGCCAGCAGCCGCGGUAAUACGUAGGGUGCAAGCGUUAUCCGGAAUUAUUGGGCGUAAAGGGCUCGUAGGCGGUUCGUCGCGUCCGGUGUGAAAGUCCAUCGCUUAACGGUGGAUCCGCGCCGGGUACGGGCGGGCUUGAGUGCGGUAGGGGAGACUGGAAUUCCCGGUGUAACGGUGGAAUGUGUAGAUAUCGGGA
RNAcentral lists this ribosomal RNA (530 nucleotides) under Bifidobacterium adolescentis. RNAcentral's name for it is "bacterial SSU rRNA". It matches the Rfam family "Bacterial small subunit ribosomal RNA", at positions 161 to 702 of the family's 1533-position model. The record is from RNAcentral. Lineage: Bacteria; Bacillati; Actinomycetota; Actinomycetes; Bifidobacteriales; Bifidobacteriaceae.